GCCGGAAUAGAUCAGUUAGGAGAGCGUUAGACUGAAAAUCUAAAUGUUCCCGGUUCAAUUCGGGGUUCUGGCG
Non-coding RNA from Bos taurus (domestic cattle), 73 nucleotides. The record is from Rfam. Lineage: Eukaryota; Metazoa; Chordata; Mammalia; Artiodactyla; Bovidae.